UACGCAGGGGGCUAGCGUUGUUCGGAUUUACUGGGCGUAAAGCGCACGUAGGCGGAUCGUUAAGUCGGGGGUGAAAUCCUGGAGCUCAACUCCAGAACUGCCUUCGAUACUGGCGAUCUUGAGUCCGGAAGAGGUGAGUGGAACUCCUAGUGUAGAGGUGGAAUUCGUAGAUAUUAGGAAGAACACCAGUGGCGAAGGCGGCUCACUGGUCCGGUACUGACGCUGAGGUGCGAAAGCGUGGGGAGCAAACAGG
This 253-nucleotide ribosomal RNA is filed under the name uncultured bacterium. RNAcentral's name for it is "partial 16S ribosomal RNA". It matches the Rfam family "Bacterial small subunit ribosomal RNA", at positions 524 to 776 of the family's 1533-position model. The record is from RNAcentral.